Molecule: ribosomal RNA, 428 nt
Filed under: uncultured bacterium
Lineage: Bacteria
Description: bacterial SSU rRNA
Rfam family: Bacterial small subunit ribosomal RNA
Source: RNAcentral
AUUGAACGCUGGCGGAAUGCUUUACACAUGCAAGUCGAACGGCAGCACGGGAGCUUGCUCCUGGUGGCGAGUGGCGAACGGGUGAGUAAUGCGUCGGAACGUACCGAGUAAUGGGGGAUAACGCAGCGAAAGCUGUGCUAAUACCGCAUACGCCCUGAGGGGGAAAGUGGGGGAUCGCAAGACCUCACGUUAUUCGAGCGGCCGACGUCUGAUUAGCUAGUUGGUGGGGUAAAGGCCUACCAAGGCGACGAUCAGUAGCGGGUCUGAGAGGAUGAUCCGCCACACUGGAACUGAGACACGGUCCAGACUCCUACGGGAGGCAGCAGUGGGGAAUUUUGGACAAUGGGGGCAACCCUGAUCCAGCCAUUCCGCGUGAGUGAAGAAGGCCUUCGGGUUGUAAAGCUCUUUCAGCUGGAACGAAACGGUAC